This 253-nucleotide ribosomal RNA is filed under the name uncultured bacterium. RNAcentral's name for it is "partial 16S ribosomal RNA". It matches the Rfam family "Bacterial small subunit ribosomal RNA", at positions 524 to 776 of the family's 1533-position model. The record is from RNAcentral.
UACGUAGGGUGCAGGCGUUAAUCGGAAUUACUGGGCGUAAAGAGCUCGUAGGUGGUUUGUCGCGUUGUUCGUGAAAACUCACAGCUUAACUGUGGGCGUGCGGGCGAUACGGGCAGACUGGAGUACUGCAGGGGAGACUGGAAUUCCUGGUGUAGCGGUGGAAUGCGCAGAUAUCAGGAGGAACACCGGUGGCGAAGGCGGGUCUCUGGGCAGUAACUGACGCUGAGGAGCGAAAGCGUGGGGAGCGAACAGG